Molecule: transfer RNA, 72 nt
Filed under: Scolichthys greenwayi
Lineage: Eukaryota; Metazoa; Chordata; Actinopteri; Cyprinodontiformes; Poeciliidae
Description: tRNA-Val
Rfam family: tRNA
About the family: Transfer RNA (tRNA) molecules are approximately 80 nucleotides in length. Their secondary structure includes four short double-helical elements and three loops (D, anti-codon, and T loops). Further hydrogen bonds mediate the characteristic L-shaped molecular structure. tRNAs have two regions of fundamental functional importance: the anti-codon, which is responsible for specific mRNA codon recognition, and the 3' end, to which the tRNAs corresponding amino acid is attached (by aminoacyl-tRNA synthetases). tRNAs cope with the degeneracy of the genetic code in two manners: having more than one tRNA (with a specific anti-codon) for a particular amino acid; and 'wobble' base-pairing, i.e. permitting non-standard base-pairing at the 3rd anti-codon position.
Source: RNAcentral
CAGAACGUAGCUAAGACAGAAAAGCAUCUCCAUUACACCGAGAAGUCCCCUGUGCAAAUCAGGUCGUACUGA